CUAGUAAAUUCAUUCAUUAUUUCCUCUAGUCAAUUGGCAGACUUCUCUCCUCUCUCUCCCUUUGGCCUUUUUUUUUUUUUUUUUUUUUUGUAGUUCUACCAAGUUAAAUUUUUAGAUCUGAUUCCGUUUAAUUUUUCGGCAUAAUUUUUGUAGUGAGGCCAGUAUUCUGAGCCGGUGAAAUAGUGGUUAUUUUACAGUUGGCCGACCGGUAUUUUGUGUUUUCUGGCAGCGGGUUUUUUGGUCCGUUUGGUCAGAUUUUUAGAUUGUAAAUUGAUACUACAUUAGAGUCCAAGUCAAGGUUGGUUAGGGCUAAUAUUGUAAGGCCAUUUGUAAGGCCGUUGAUAUGAUUUUAGUGGUGUAAUCUGAAUCUUGUAAAACAAACUCGUGUUUUCUCUUAGGAGGUUCUUUACAUAGUGACGGGCUUGGGUUUUUGCCUCUGAACCCCCCAGAUUAGGCUUGGUCGAACUGGGUGAACAAUUUGUGUGUUCUUUAAUUUUCUGUAAUGUUUUUAUUAUUGCUGUGGUUGAGUAUUGGUGAUUGAAUUGGGUGAAAAAUCCCAACAGUUACAUGUCUUUAUUGCAACAUAUAGCUUUAGAGGAGGGGAAUUAAUAGAAUAAAAUACCAUCUUCCUAGAAUUAAAUGUCAAAUAUCUCAAUGUAAGAAAGUUCCUUUUGAUGUUCGAUUUAAAUUUCAAGUUCUUAAGGAUAUAUCUCAAAAGAAAAAAAAAUGCUAAAGAGGCUCAUGAUUGUACUUUUGAGGAUAAUUAUAUAGAUUUAGAAAUUGGAGGAGAGGAAAUUCAAGAAAUGCAUGUGUCUUCAGAAAAACAAAGGCAAGAAAAAGGGAAGAGGAAAGCAAGUGAAGGGAUUGAAUGCUCCAAUAAUUACUCCUAGAUCUCAGCCUAGUAUAAAGAGUAUUUUGGUUGGUAAACAAGCAAUAGAGAGAGCUCAUAUGGCUUGGACUAGGCAGUUUUAUGAUGCUUGCAUUCCAUUUAAUGCUUUGCAAUCACCUUACUUUCAACUUGCUUUAGAUGCUAAUGCUGCAGUUGGUCCAAGAUUUAAAGGACCAUCUUAUAACGACAUUUGUGUUAAUUUGUUGAGAGAUCGCAAGAAGGAAUGUCAUUUACUUGUUGAUAAUUAUUGAACUCAAUGGAUAAUUAAUGGAUGCAAAAUUAUGGCCGAUGGUUGGAGCGAUCAAAGGCAUAGAACUUUGAAUAAUUUUUUAGUACAUUGCUCUUCUGAAAUUGUAUUCGGAAAAUCUUAUGAUGCCUCAAAUGUAGUGAGAGAUGCUCAAACACUGUGUAAUUAGUUUUUCGAGAUUCAAAU
RNAcentral lists this long non-coding RNA (1322 nucleotides) under Olea europaea subsp. europaea. Lineage: Eukaryota; Viridiplantae; Streptophyta; Magnoliopsida; Lamiales; Oleaceae. The record is from RNAcentral.